AUUGAACGCUGGCGGCAGGCCUAACACAUGCAAGUCGAACGGUAACAGGAAGCAGCUUGCUGCUUUGCUGACGAGUGGCGGACGGGUGAGUAAUGUCUGGGAAACUGCCCGAUGGAGGGGGAUAACUACUGGAAACGGUAGCUAAUACCGCAUAACGUCGCAAGACCAAAGAGGGGGACCUUAGGGCCUCUUGCCAUCGGAUGUGCCCAGACGGGAUUAGCUAGUAGGUGGGGUAACGGCUCACCUAGGCGACGAUCCCUAGCUGGUCUGAGAGGAUGACCAGCCACACUGGAACUGAGACACGGUCCAGACUCCUACGGGAGGCAGCAGUGGGGAAUAUUGCACAAUGGGCGCAAGCCUGAUGCAGCCAUGCCGCGUGUAUGAAGAAGGCCUUCGGGUUGUAAAGUACUUUCAGCGGGGAGGAAGGGAGUAAAGUUAAUACCUUUGCUCAUUGACGUUACCCGCAGAAGAAGCACCGGCUAACUCCGUG
Molecule: ribosomal RNA, 490 nt
Filed under: uncultured bacterium
Lineage: Bacteria
Description: partial 16S ribosomal RNA
Rfam family: Bacterial small subunit ribosomal RNA
Source: RNAcentral